CCAGCCAGUUUACCAGCUGUUAAGAUUUCUGGGAGUAGCAUCCAGUAGAAGUGGUUCAUUUCAUUAGCAUUUGCUAUUAUCCAUGGUUUCCUAUUUCUGCAGUAAAUUCUGGAACUUAUCUCCCACGGAUAUGGGGGUUGUGCUGUACAAAAAUAGUUCGUACUCAGCAAAAGGGAGAAGAUAAGCUCAAAGCAAACUGCUACAGCCUCUCCUAACUUGUCUGUUCUUCCUCUUUAAGAACUUUUGCUAUCUUGGCCCCAUUAUAACAUUGCUUAACCACAUCUGUCCCAGUUUUCAUCUGUGAAUAUUGCACACAGUAACAACAAACAUGAUUGCUAAAGUUGACACAGGAUCAUAGGAAAGGAUUCUGUACCACUCUUCAUCAACUAGCCAUGGUGAAGGACAUCUGAAGAGGUGGCAUAACAUCCAAGAUUCUGUAUUUCUGUUCCGUGCUGUUUCUGAAAAAGGAAGCCAGAUGUCCAUGAGGUCUGAGGGCAAGGAAGUUAGCUUGUUGCUAGAAACAUCCAGAUGAAUACACCUCUCGCUGUAUUGUUUUAAAUAAGGCAUCUGCUUCCACAGACACAGGGAGCUUGGAAGGAUCAAGAGCAAGAUAAUCCAGCCUCUUGCUCAAAGAGAAAAAACAUCUGUUUGUCAGCCCUCUCAAUGAAACUUUAAUUGUGAGGAAUUAUGUAAUGCCAGCAAUGCAUCUAUACAAACAGAAAGAUUUUGAUUCAAUUUACUGUAAAGGGUAAAAACAAAUUCCUGUGUAUCAAUCCCAUGUAUACCCUCCCCAAAGUUAAGGAAUAAAAUACACUUCGUGGUUGUACAUUUUCCAGGCUGUAUGGCCAUGUUCCAGAAUUAUUCUCUCCUGACGUUUCACCCACACCUGUGGCAGGCAUCCUCAGAGGUUGUGAGGUAUGGAGAAACUAAACAAG
Molecule: long non-coding RNA, 935 nt
Organism: Anolis carolinensis (green anole)
Lineage: Eukaryota; Metazoa; Chordata; Lepidosauria; Squamata; Anolidae
Exons: 3
Source: RefSeq, a predicted model, not a curated record